Molecule: long non-coding RNA, 2182 nt
Organism: Patella vulgata (common limpet)
Lineage: Eukaryota; Metazoa; Mollusca; Gastropoda; Patellidae
Exons: 4
Source: RefSeq, a predicted model, not a curated record
UAAUGUUUUAACCUUUCGCGGUUUUAGCAUCGAUCGUAUAUAAUAAAAUAUGACCACGACGUUUGGGACUCGAGAAAAAUAAUCGGCUGGUCGAAAUUUCCAUAGAUGGUAUAGUUCUAUGGUUGAACACUACAGUCAAUACCCAACAUUGCAGUUUUAGCACAACUUAUUGCAUCUUUGAGUGCCAUUCCUGUCAUCUAUUGAGUAGCCUACCCAGCCUUUCUCUGGGUUACUGAAAUUUUUUCAAAGGUGCAUUUUUGAAAUAAACCCAGAUAACGGACAGAAAUCAUGAAAAAGAGGAAGACUCAAGUGUGCCAAAAAGUGAUAUAACUAAUUACUGAACCGUCAAACUUUGAAUGGAUGAAGUAUGGUUGCAGCAAUAUACUGGUACCGUCAGAUGGUAUACGGUGUUUUAGAUGUCACAUUUCGGGUCAAGGUGCUUUAAAUUCCGUACCACGGUUCGGUUAACAUGGUACAGAUAUUUUAACUGUCCGUUUUCUUCCGAUGCUCAACUUCGAGCUGGACGAUAUUGGUAAAAUCAAAUAUCGCGAUAUUUCCCCAAAAAAACGACGAUAUAUCACUAUAUCGCGAUAUUUUAGUUUUAUUAUAAAAAGCUAACAAUAUAUCGCGAUAUAUCACAAUAUCCCGAUAUUUUAGUUUUAUUAUAAAAGAUGUGAUUAUAUAAGUGUUAAAAACAGGUCAUUCCCACCCCCUUAGGGUGCAUUAUUCCUGUUUCAAAAGCACAGACCGAGAAUUAAGUUCAAGGGUUAGGGUUUUGGCUAGGCAAAUGUGGAGAGGGGUGGGGGAGAAAAUUGGGGAUAAGGGACUGAGCCACGGCCCUUUUAUGAGUGGUACUUUGUAAAUGAGGCUUUAAACACACUGCAAGAAAUCUUUUUAAUGAAUCUUCUUAAUUAAACUUGAUCUUAUUUUACUUUUGAUAAGAUGUCAGUUUACUUUGAUGGAAAUAUCUGUUAGUCAUCUAGUUUGUCCAUCCACAAUUUGGUACAUUUGUAAAAUCAUUGUAAUGAAUUUUCUUAAUUAAACUUGAUCUUCUUAUUGUACUUUUGAUAAGAUGUCCGUUUACUUUAAUGGAAAAAUCUGUUGGUCAUUUAGUUUGUCCAUUCACAAUUUGGUAUAUUUGUAAAAUUAUCCUCGGUUCAUUUUGUCUCUAAAUAUCAACUUCCUUGCAUAAACAUUAAAAAUGUGCUACUCUCAUCUAUGCAUUUCAUUUUGGGACCGGUACAUUAACUUUGUCAGUAGUCGAGUUCCAUCUAAAUUUUUAUCAAUGAGACUGAAUCAAUUUAUGCCAUUCUCACUAAGGAAUGUACAUACUUAGGCAGAGUUAUUGUGCAAAAUUGUAUACAUUUUCAAACAGAGAUUAAGCUAAUCAUUGAAACAAGCUGUACAUUCAAGGUAGAAUAAUAGGAAUUCUGCAUUGAUGCUGUUCUUGUUUUAAAGUCAUGAUACUUUUUGGGUUCAAUAAUUGUUAGAUUUUAAAUUGUUCAUUUAAACAUUUAGAAUGCAAAUUCGUUAAUCUCCAAAAAAUUUCAUGAUUUCAUUAGAUCAUGUUUUACUGUUAUAAUUUACUGAUAAGGUGAUAGUUUUACUUUCAUGUUGUUGAUGUUUUAAAUAAUAGAUUUGAGGUAAAUAUUAUAAUACCAUGGUAAGAUUUUAGAAAAAGAUUUGAGGGUAAUACUAUUGUAACACACUGAUUUUAUAUUUGUAGAAUAGAUUCUGAAUGUUAUUGUUAUACUAUAAAAAAUUCAUUUAAAUAUUAUAAUGUAAAUGUUACAUGUACAAGAAUUUGAAUGGAUAAUUUUAUUAUUGUUAAAUUUUUCAUGAACUUUCCUUUGGACAUUUGUAUUUUGUUCGUUAUUAUUAAUGAAGAAUUAUGUAAAGAGCUUUGUUUUUGUUGAAAUAUACCACCAAACUGCUUGACAGCCAAAGAAUAUUUUCAAUCUCUAAACCUCCAUUUUGUAAUAGCAAACCUGCUCUUGAUCAAAUAUUUUAAAAAUAUGGGUUUGUGGUUGACAGGUUUUUUUUUUUAAGGCAGUUGUUAGCUUUACUUACUGACAGUAAUCUCCAAUUUCCAGUAUUUUCAGGUCUUUUUAUUAUAUCUUAAACUAUCAUGUAAAAGCAUUUUUGAGGAAUUAUAUCUUGUUUUGAAUAAUUAAAUUCUGUU